AAGACUUUAAGUUAAAAAAACUAUCAGCCUUCAAAGUUGAAAAUAAAAUAUCUUAAAUUAAGUUUUA
RNAcentral lists this transfer RNA (67 nucleotides) under Aguriahana triangularis. RNAcentral describes it as "tRNA-Trp". Lineage: Eukaryota; Metazoa; Arthropoda; Insecta; Hemiptera; Cicadellidae. The record is from RNAcentral.